This is a long non-coding RNA of Schistocerca serialis cubense, 551 nucleotides long. RefSeq lists it as uncharacterized. The record is from RefSeq and is a predicted model, not a curated record. NCBI's taxonomy places the organism in Eukaryota, Metazoa, Arthropoda, Insecta, Orthoptera, Acrididae. The transcript has 3 exons.
AGAAAUUUCUGCAUGUCUGCCCAAUGUAUACUGAAUCACAGUAUUUGCAGAAAUGAAAUGGAGCAAAGAGGCAUUAAGCAACUUAAAUCUGGCACACAGCAAGGAAAAGUGUAUGUAUGACCCGCUGUAUCAGAAUAAGCAUGCCUUAAAGAGAAAUUGGUAGUGACAGGGGAGAAUGUCUGUUCAGUUUGGUCCAGAGUGACAGACGAGAACUGCAAAACUCUGAGUAGCACAUAUACAUAGUGCAAACUUGGAAAAAUAACAUAAGUGCACCUUCAAGUACUGGUCCUUUAAAGUGCUGCCCUAAUCGGAAGAUUUACUGUCACUGCCAUGGCAAUAGCUCCAAAAACAAAUGGGUCCUCCUUGUGCAAAGUGCUGUAUAAGUACAUGUACCUGUUUAACCAAGAGUCAUGAUAUAAAACUAACUAUUGGGUCUGUAAUUCAGAACAGUGGUAAUGUACCUAAGAGAAUAACAGUUAUUUAAUAAAUAAUAAUAAAAAAACAGUUUCAUAUUAUAUAGGAAACUUGAGUCGCAUAAAUAUUUUAAUUGA